Molecule: non-coding RNA, 65 nt
Organism: Dipodomys ordii (Ord's kangaroo rat)
Lineage: Eukaryota; Metazoa; Chordata; Mammalia; Rodentia; Heteromyidae
Source: Rfam
GGUGGCUCAGUAGUAGAGUGCUUGCCUUGCAUGCAUGAGGCCUUGGGUUUGAUUCCUCAGCACCA